RNAcentral lists this ribosomal RNA (279 nucleotides) under uncultured bacterium. RNAcentral's name for it is "partial 16S ribosomal RNA". It matches the Rfam family "Bacterial small subunit ribosomal RNA", at positions 506 to 784 of the family's 1533-position model. The record is from RNAcentral.
UGCCAGCAGCCGCGGUAAUACAGAGGGUGCGAGCGUUAAUCGGAAUUACUGGGCGUAAAGGGUGCGUAGGUGGUUAUUUAAGUUAGGUGUGAAAUCCCAGGGCUCAACCCUGGAACUGCGCUUAAUACUGGGUAACUAGAGUACUAGAGAGGAGUGUGGAAUUUCCGGUGUAGCGGUGAAAUGCGUAGAUAUCGGAAGGAACACCAGUGGCGAAGGCGGCACUCUGGCUAGAGACUGACACUGAGGCACGAAAGCGUGGGGAGCAAACAGGAUUAGAUA